AUACGGAGGGUGCAAGCGUUAAUCGGAAUUACUGGGCGUUAAGCGCGCGUAGGCGGAUAUUUAAGUCUCAUGUGAAAGCCCUGGGCUCAACCUGGGAACUGCAUGGGAUACUGGGUAUCUAGAAUACAGUAGAGGGUAGUGGAAUUUCAGGUGUAGCGGUGAAAUGCGUAGAGAUCUGAAGGAACAUCAGUGGCGAAGGCGACUACCUGGACUGAUAUUGACGCUGAGGUGCGAAAGCGUGGGGAGCAAACGGGAUUAGAAACCCCAGUAGUCC
RNAcentral lists this ribosomal RNA (274 nucleotides) under uncultured bacterium. Its description in RNAcentral is "partial 16S ribosomal RNA". It matches the Rfam family "Bacterial small subunit ribosomal RNA", at positions 523 to 796 of the family's 1533-position model. The record is from RNAcentral.